Molecule: ribosomal RNA, 484 nt
Filed under: uncultured bacterium
Lineage: Bacteria
Description: partial 16S ribosomal RNA
Rfam family: Bacterial small subunit ribosomal RNA
Source: RNAcentral
GACGAACGCUGGCGGCGUGCUUAACACAUGCAAGUCGAACGAUGAAGCUAGAGCUUGCUCUGGUGAAUUAGUGGCGAACGGGUGAGUAACACGUGAGUAACCUGCCCCGAACUCUGGGAUAACUGCUGGAAACGGUAGCUAAUACUGGAUACGACCUACGAAGGCAUCUUCUGUAGGUGGAAAGAAUUUCGGUUCGGGAUGGACUCGCGGCCUAUCAGCUUGUUGGUGAGGUAAUGGCUCACCAAGGCGACGACGGGUAGCCGGCCUGAGAGGGUGACCGGCCACACUGGGACUGAGACACGUCCCAGACUCCGACGGGAGGCAGCAGUGGGGAAUAUUGCGCAAUGGGCGCAAGCCUGAUGCAGCAACGCCGCGUGAGGGAUGACGGCCUUCGGGUUGUAAACCUCUUUUAGUAGGGAAGAAGCGAAAGUGACGGUACCUGCAGAAAAAGCACCGGCUAACUACGUGCCAGCCGCCGCGGUAA